UGUGUCUUAAGUUCAUUUGGUCUAGUGUCCAGUUUAAGUCCAAUGUUUCUUUGUUGAUUUUCUGUGUAGAUGAUCUGUCUAAUAAUGAGAGUGGAGUGCUGAAAUUCCCUACUAUUAUUGUAUUGGAAUCUAUUUUUUUUUCUUUAGAUCAAACAUUUGCUAAUGAAAUUGAGUACUCCAGGGUUGGGUGCAUAUUUAAAAUUCUUAUAUCCUCUUGGGCCGGGCGCGGUGGCUCAUG
Molecule: long non-coding RNA, 238 nt
Filed under: Homo sapiens (human)
Lineage: Eukaryota; Metazoa; Chordata; Mammalia; Primates; Hominidae
Description: non-protein coding lnc-LCE5A-5:1
Source: RNAcentral